GGCCGACUAGCUCAAUGGUAGAGCAGUUGACUCUUAAUCAAUUGGUUCGCGGUUCGAGCCCGCGGUCGGUCA
This 72-nucleotide transfer RNA is filed under the name Chloroflexota bacterium. RNAcentral's name for it is "tRNA-Lys". It matches the Rfam family "tRNA". Rfam says of the family: Transfer RNA (tRNA) molecules are approximately 80 nucleotides in length. Their secondary structure includes four short double-helical elements and three loops (D, anti-codon, and T loops). The record is from RNAcentral. Lineage: Bacteria; Bacillati; Chloroflexota.